RNAcentral lists this ribosomal RNA (498 nucleotides) under uncultured bacterium. RNAcentral's name for it is "partial 16S ribosomal RNA". It matches the Rfam family "Bacterial small subunit ribosomal RNA", at positions 28 to 523 of the family's 1533-position model. The record is from RNAcentral.
GAUGAACGCUAGCGGCAGGCCUAAUACAUGCAAGUCGAACGAUAUUAUCCAGCUUGCUGGAUAUGAAAGUGGCGCACGGGUGCGUAACGCGUAUGCAACCUACCUUAUUCAGGGGGAUAGCCCGAAGAAAUUCGGAUUAACACCGCAUAAAAUCACAGUUCAGCAUUGGACAAUGAUCAAAUAUUUAUAGGAAUAAGAUGGGCAUGCGUGUCAUUAGCUAGUUGGCGGGGUAACGGCCCACCAAGGCGACGAUGACUAGGGGAUCUGAGAGGAUGGCCCCCCACACUGGUACUGAGACAAGGACAAGACUCCUACGGGAGGCAGCAGUAAGGAAUAUUGGUCAAUGGAGGGAACUCUGAACCAGCCAUGCCGCGUGCAGGAAGACGGCCCUCUGGGUUGUAAACUGCUUUUAUUCGGGAAUAAACCUACUUACGUGUAAAUAGCUGAAUGUACCGAAGGAAUAAGGAUCGGCUAACUCCGUGCCAGCAGCCGCAGUAA